GGUAAUUGAUAUUUUCUAUUUAUGAUUCCAUUUUUUUAAUUAUUAUUUUUACUUUGUAAGUUUUAAUUAAGAUGCUUGAUACAUGGUGCUAACUAGCCAUAAGAAUCAAUUAUCAAAGCACUUUUAUUUUGGAAAACUCUUUUUUUUUUUUUUUUUUUGGUUAGAAAAAGGAAAAAACUUAUUUGAAGUUUUAAAAUUCUCUGUUUUUUUUUUUACGCUGUUGACUAUAUGUGUGUACACAUAUGUAAUACUAAAGUCUUUUUGUGACAAUAUCCACCUAUGUACGUACAAUCAAGUGGACAAUAUGGCUCCAAAUUUCAUUAGUAAUUGAUGUUAACAAUUUUGUUUUAACGUGUUCGUUUUUAUAGGCAAAAUUCAAGUCUCGAGGAGUCGCAAUAUUGGCCUUUUUCUUCUCUUUGACAACCCCAGCCGGGAUAGCAAUAGGCAUUGGAAUAUCAAGUUUUUAUGACGAAAAUGACCCCACUGCUCUUAUUGUUGAAGGGAUAUUCAAUGCAGCAGCAGCUGGAAUCCUAAUAUACAUGUCCUUGGUGGAUCUUCUUGCUGCAGAUUUUAUGAAUCCGAAGAUGCAAGACAAUAAAAGGCUUCAAUUUGGAGCACAUGUUUCUCUUCUUUUAGGAGCUGGUUGCAUGUCCUUGUUAGCCAAAUGGGCUUAAAAAUCAUAGAUAUUUUUUCUGCAAUUUUUGUUUAUCCAAUAGUUUAAUUUGCGGCAGUUUUUGUACAGACAUUUUGAUGGAUGUUUACUAUCUGUAAAAUAACUUAAAUUGAUUAGGGUUAAGUGUAGCGUUUUAAAAUUUAAAGAGGGUAAGUGUCAUAACUCAUUUGAUUUUGGGUGUGAAUCUUUGUAACUUAUAUUUGAAGGGAUCUGUAAUUUUUCCUUGUACAUAUUUUAUUUUAUUUUUGACUAAAGAUCAUUACUCGACGGUGAGCUUUAAAUAAUAAAUUCUACAAAGCCCCUGCCAAAAAGGGGGUAAAAAACAAAAGGAAAGAAAAGAAAAGCUAUGAACUAAUUUGAAAAGAAGAUGAUAAAGAUCAUGGUGAUGAUAUUGACUCAAUUGAGGAAGAAAACUCAAACUCGUAGUGUUUAUCGAUGGCCAUUGAUACAUCAAUAUUACACAUCAAUGUAUGUAUAUACAUACGCACAUCAAUAUUGCUAUGUUUGCAAGUUUAUAAUAAAAAAUAAUUUUGGUAUUCGACCCAAUGUGUUCUUAUAAGAAAAUGACACAUGUCAAAUGAUUACUUAUAUUUUCACUUUCACUUGGUGGUUUGUAUGAACACUUUGUAUAUGCUGUUUUAAUAUCAAAUAUUUCAUAUUAGUUGGGUAUAACCGUAUAAAUUUUAUAUUUUAACUAUACAUAAUUAUAGACUUGAGUGGAAAAUAUAGAUUUAGUUGGUCUUUUAGUGAAAAUAAGGGUAUUACAAACAUUGUCCUUCAUAUGGCAAGCUAGAACAAUAUAUGAAUGGGUCGACGAGGUUAAGUCAAGAGAAACCUAAAAACGCAAGCUGGUUGAAGCCAGCCACUUGCUACUUGCUACUGCCAAAAGAGAGGGAAAACGACAUCGUAAUCCACUAGGUACGGACUACUAAUUAAUUAGCUCAGUUGUCUCCUUUUACUUCCAAAAACGUCCAAACUCAUCUUGUAAAACUUUCAAUAUUCUGAAUUUUGAUUCCUUAAUUUUACUUAAGAAUUUGGUCUUUAUCUAAGUUUUAAAUAAAGUGUUUUAAUAAGUUAUAAAAAAUAAGGGUAAAAGCUCGUUUAAUCCCUAUAUUUUGAAGUUAGUGCCCGUUUAGUCCCUAUAUUUUUAAAAAUACCUCAAACCAUCCCUACCAUUAAAUUAUUGACACUUUUGCCAUUAUCUUUUGUUCCUUUUAACUUAUUUUUAUAAUAUUACCCUAUUAUAAUAAUUUUUUAGACAUUAUUAAAAAGAAAAAAAUAACCCUUUUUUGUUUUUAUUUUAUUUUUGAGUUUAAUUUGAUAAUUUAAUUUUUUAUUAAUAUCCAAAAAAGAAACAUUAUUGUAAAAAUGUAAUAUUGUAAAAGCAAGUUAAAAAUAAUAAAAAAUAAUGGCAUAAGUGUCAAUAUUUAGUAGCAGGGAUGUUUUGAGGUGUUUUUAAAAAUACAGGGACUAAAUGAACACUAACCUCAUAAUAUAGGGACUAAACAAGCUUUUACCCAAAAAAUAAUUAUCAUUUCUCAUAAUUUCAGGGGCAUUCCGAGAAUCGAACUCGGGACCUCUCGCACCCAAAGCGAGAAUCAUACCACUAGACCAAAUGCCCAGCGACAAAGUGAAACUUCCUUACAAAAUAUUAAUCUUAUUUCUAAAUUGAAGUCAUUACACACGCCUUCAUACUUCUUCGUUUCCAUUAAUAAGAAUUUGACUGAGAGAAUGGUGGCAAUUUGAUUCCAUGCAAACAGUCUGAUGGAUGAUCACGACAAAGGUGAAAUUGUUUCUGAGUAAAACUUGGAACAAAACUUGACACGUACAUGAACACAGAGAGUCAAAUUAACAAGCUAGCCAACAUCCAAAAUGGCCUACAAAUUCAUAACAAAACGACAUGGGGAUUUGCCACUUGCCAGAUUCCAAUCUCUAGACAAUGCACACAUCUUUUGGUUGAAACUCGAGCUCUGUUAAAAUAUCUUUUUGUUAAAUAUCUCAAGCUCUGCCAAGGGAGUUGACGUUCAAUCGUUAUCUAAUUCCUAUAUACGUUUCACGUCUCAGGAGCUGAACUAAAGGAUUCAAGUAUAAGAAUAGUAUGUAAUUAUUAAGAUCGUUAACACGUACAAACAUUGCCGAUACUACGAUCAUCAAAUCUGAUUUCAUACUUAACAAAUUAAUUAUUUAUUUAACAAAUUAAUUAGUACCCUAAUUAAUAACUUGAUCAGUGCGGAUAUGAUUUAUGAAACCACGGGGCAACAAAUUGACUACAAGGUAAUAACAUUAAAUGUUGGACUAGUAGCCUGUUACCAUUCAUUCAUUUUUUAUUUUUUUUAACAUUCAUAUAUAAUAUUUAAUAUGAUAUUAAUACAACAUGAUCCCAUGUUACAAGUUAAUUUCAGCAUCAUUGUUAUAGUUUUCAUGUUCGACCUUACAAGCAAACUCCUGAGUCUAUUCAUAUGAGGUGCAAGUGCAAGUAUGCAACUGGCAGAGCUUGAAAAACUUUUUGAGGUUCAUGGUCCUAUGAUAAAGUUAUCAAAAGUAAUUGACAUUAUGCUCUUUAUUUAAUUCUUCUAUAAACUUAUGUCAAAUAAUAGAACCUUAGGAGGGACCCAAUUGGCCAAAUCCCAUCACAGUCUCACAACUGGUCCUGAAGCUUUCUUUUACAUGAACUGCUUAGAAGCAUUUCAGAAUUUUCCUUACCUUUUCUCCUGAAUGAUUUAAGGAAUAAUUGAAAUUAAAAUUGAAUAAUUUUCGUUGCCUUUUUAUCCCAAAAUGGUAUAUUUUCUUGAAUCCAAAACCAGUUUGAAUAUUGAUAUUUGAUGCAGCCCCUUGUAACUACAAAAUAAGAUUUUAGGGUAAAAAACUUUUAAUUAGUUAGGCUAGGGUUUUAUUUUUGACAUAUAUUUUAUUGUUUAAAAGGGAAAACAAAGAAUUAAAUAUAACGUCAUGUUACCCACGAUUUGAUACAAGGAUGAUGAUCCUCUUCUGAUUUGAGCACACCUGAUCUUUUACAGAUCUUGUGUCAUUUGUAUUUUAAUGUUAGUGUAUAAUUAUAAUUUAACUACUUUUUCUUUUUAAUUUAUUAACCACCAAUCAUGUUAAUAAAAUUUACUCAUAAAAAGAUCAGAUCAUGAGAAAAUCUCAAUCCUUGAUACAACUCUCCUUUUUUUUUUUUAAUAUACUUCACACUUUGUAUAAAAAAAUGACCCUUUUUCAUUUUAUUAUUUUAAAAUUGCAUUGACUAAACUGUAAAUAUUGAAUUUUAGAUUUGGUUAGCCAACCAAGAAGAUCGAAAAUCCAGCUAAUACUGUUAUCCGGCUGGCUUGUCAAAGAAAAAAAAAUUAAAUGAGUCAAUUAUUAUUUCAACAUAAUAUCGACAUUGCAAGCUUGACUUCACCAAUUUUAGCCUACAGUUGUAGUGAGAAUGCUUUGAAAUUCCUUUCUGGCUGCUCAGUAUGUCGACAUAUUAUCAACACUUUGCUAUUUUUCAAUCCCUGAGAUUCCCAUCCAAAUUUUCAACUAGCCAGUCCCUAAUUGCAGGCCACUUUUUAAUUCUGUGGUCAAAUUAAUUAUUUCGUCUAAUAAUUACCAUAAUUUUACAAAACAAGAAACAACCCAUGUACAGAAGUUUGAUUCUACUCGUAACUUGAUUCUUACGGAAUCGUGUCCUCAUUAUUUCUUCAAAGCUACUUUUGAGAUGAUCAUCGAACGCUAAAGCGAAUUAAACCUUAAUUGGUACUUAGCGUUUUAAUCCAAUCUCUUCUGUUUGUUCUAUUAAUUUCUUUUAUUUUGUUUUCUUAUUCUCUUUCAGUUUCACUCGAUGGGGUCGGUGCAUGGGUCACAAUGAUUUUAUGAUGCUCUAGAGAUCAACAAUCACGCGCUUUCACAUAAACUCUACGCUAUAAACAAUUUCCUCUCAAAUAUUUUCAUCAUACAAAAAUAAAAAUCGUGAUAUUGUUUUCAGAUUUCAGAUUCUUUAUCAUGAUCACUUCUCAUCGUCUUUUCAUCACUUUCUUUUGCAUUCUUCUAAUACUACUUCCCAACGUAGUACGAGGAGAAUGCACGUGCGAUCCUGAAGACGAGGAUCGAGACAAGACUCAAGCCUUAAAAUAUAAACUCGCCGCAAUCGCUUCGAUACUCGUGGCCGGAGCCAUCGGAGUUUUACUUCCCGUCCUCGGAAAAACUAUCCGGGCACUAAGUCCGGAGAGAAAUAUUUUCUUCCUAAUCAAGGCCUUUGCCGCCGGAGUUAUAUUAUCGACGGGGUUCAUCCACGUGCUUCCCGACGCCUUCGAGAACUUAACGUCGCCCUGCCUCGAUGAACAUCCAUGGGGGGAUUUUCCGUUCACCGGAUUCGCUGCCAUGGUUGCUGCUAUCGGGACUCUGAUGAUUGAUGCUUUUGCAACUUCUUAUGCGACUUCUUAUUAUCGCAAGUCUCACUUUGGUGAAGCGGAGAAUAACGCACCAGAUGAAGAGAAAGUUGGGGAGCAUGCAGGUCACGUGCAUGUUCAUACCCAUGCAACUGAUGGGCAUGCUCAUGGAUUUCUUGAAUAUUCCGGUGAAUCGGAGCUUCUACGACACCGUGUCAUAUCUCUGGUACAACUUAUUUAUUUAUUUUAAAUUUUCACGCAUAUCUAAAGGCGAUGGUGAUUUUUUUUUUUUUGUUUUUAUUUUUGAAGUUUCAUUAUGGUUAUUUUUUCCAUUAGGUUUUGGAGUUGGGAAUUCUUGUGCACUCGGUAAUAAUUGGAAUUUCAUUGGGAGCUUCUGAGAGUCCAAAAACCAUUAAGCCUUUGGUUGCAGCGUUGACUUUUCAUCAAUUCUUUGAAGGAAUGGGUCUUGGUGGUUGCAUUACGCAGGUAAUUAGGAUUUUCUAUUUAUGAUAAUAUUAGGUUUGGCCAAUUUGACAGUUUUCCAUUUUUCUCAUUAAUAUUGUUUUUACUUUGUAAGUUUUAGUUAAAAUGCUUCAUACAUGUACAUGGUGCUAACUAGCCAUAAGAAUUAAUUAUCAAAGCACUUUUUUAUUUCGGAAAACUCUUUUUUUUUUGGGUUAGAAAAAGGAAAAAAACUUAUUUGAAGUCUUAAAAUUCUCUGUUUUUUUUUUUUUUUACGCUGUUGACUGUAUGUGAUACUAAAGUCUUUUUGUGACAAUAUCCACCUAUGUACGUACAAUCAAGUGGACAAUAUGGCUCCAAAUUUCAUUAGUAAUUGAUGUUAACAAUUUUGUUUUAACGUGUUCGUUUUUAUAGGCAAGAUUCAAGUCUCGAGGAGUUGCAAUAUUGGCCUUGUUCUUCUCUUUGACGACCCCAGUUGGGAUAGCAAUAGGCAUUGGAAUAUCAAGUGUUUAUGACGAAAAU
RNAcentral lists this long non-coding RNA (6027 nucleotides) under Citrus sinensis (sweet orange). RNAcentral's name for it is "long non-coding RNA (CSIN_LNC002619)". The record is from RNAcentral. Lineage: Eukaryota; Viridiplantae; Streptophyta; Magnoliopsida; Sapindales; Rutaceae.